Pezoporus occidentalis (night parrot) is the source of this 2108-nucleotide long non-coding RNA. RefSeq lists it as uncharacterized. Lineage: Eukaryota; Metazoa; Chordata; Aves; Psittaciformes; Psittacidae. The transcript has 5 exons. The record is from RefSeq and is a predicted model, not a curated record.
AGAAUUUGCCCUGCUCCAGCCAGCGGCCACCCGGCAGCAGUCAUCUAGAGCAGGAUAACCAUGCAGGCAAGACCCCCACGGACCCAAGCAGAGCCAGUCCUACAUGAAGUUUCUGGAAGCACACAAACACCAGCAUGACGAAGCUUUGUGCUGCUAAUGAGAAUCCAGAAGUUCAAAGGAAGGCUUGAUCACAUAAGCCUCUACUUUCGAGAGGCUGACUGUGUUGUACUCACUGUGUCUGUUAGAUGAUAUAUUUGACACCUCUGUCCAAACACAAAGUUAAAGUAUAUUUGAUGCUGUUGACCAAUUUUGCUACUUCUGGAGCACACCAAGAGUUGAGUGAACCAGACAGUAAAUAUAAUUGUGAUCACCAAAUGUGUUACUGCCUGGCUGGAGGAAUAGUUAUCAUAAGCACCUACUGAAAGAUCACACUUCAUUAAGUACAUGUAUAAUGCAAUAAAUAAGAUUUAAAUAAACAUUCACCUAUAGUAGAGGACUUCUACACACUCAGAGAAAAUGCAUAUGUGACUACAGAGACAACCAAAAUAAUCUGCUUGCAAUAAAAGUGUGUCUAAAACUGGCACAAAUAUGUCAAUCAAAAUCAACUGCUGCACAGAGUGAAAAAUGCAUGAAGUCUAUAUUACUGAAAUCACAACAGGAUAAAACGCAGUUUACUUGCCUAUCCUGUCCUUUGCUCAACAUCUUUCUCUUGCCCUCCAGGGUGGAAUAACAGACUUUGCCAGUUGUCCUGUCCAUCAGAGUUUUACAAGAGCAUCGUUCUCACGCCUUAGAUUUCAGCAAGACAAGCUCAAAAUGAAUCUGCUGACUGCACAUUUGUGCCCAAGGUCAUUGUGAAAUCUGAUGUCUUCACAUCCCCCUUUAUCUUCCUGCAUCCUUGCUGAGGCUGUCAACCCUUAGGAGAUCCCACUUGAACAGAUAGCUCCCCAAAGUGUUACCUUACUCUUGCUACCACAUCACACUAAGUACGCUGCUUUUCUACUUCUCUUUCCACAAAUCUCUUGCUUCUGAUAGCAGUUGCAUCUCUGCCACCACUGGCAUCCCACCAGUUAAAAAGAUUAUCACAGCAUAAGUAAGAGGCAGUGGCAGUUGAUGCACCUUCUUCACAACUUGCAAAUACCUAACUUUGGAGACAAGUGCGUUGCAGCUAGAUUCGUGGGGCCAGCACCUCUGCUUCUCCACUUUGUCACAGCAAAACUAAUUUAAAGCACAUGUUUGUAAAAAAUCAUUCUCUUUCUGAAGGGCAGGUUCCCAAGGUGACCCGCAGCCUUAUCAUUUUCUAUUGGAGCACAAAGGUAGUCUCUAAAUGAAAGAUUUACUAGAGAAAAGAGAUUUUCUAAGUAUGCGCAGGAAGACUGAUUCUUCACUGGAGGGAGAAUUUAACUUCUCAUUACCAUUUGUCUUACAUGGCAGAAAUACAUUCAAAGUCAAAGAAUUUUCUAGCAUUCAUCACCAAGGCGGGUGAAAGGCAAAAGAUGCUUAUCAGCACCUCCCACAGUGAUGUUAACUGGAUGUGCAUGGAAGCUGAGAGAUUAUUAAUCACAGGACUGAAAGAUCAGGUUUUUAUAAGCUGGUUUAGAUAUCCGUGAUACUUCACCGUCUGCUUGAAACUGAGCAGAGAGAAAAGUCAGGAAUCAGAAUCAAUGCAUCCUGAGGUCUCUUGCUUCUCAUUCUUUGCUGGAGGUAGAACUUUCAUUACCUGUGUUCUUGUAAUUUGACAGUUUGUUCAAAAACUGGCACAACAUCACUUUCUGUCUACGACUUCACUUGUGCUGCUCUCUAGUGACAGCCUUAGAAUUGCCCAGUUGCAGUGCUUCACAUUUGAGGUUUUUUGAAGCUUGGCCUGUUUCAAGAAAGUGAGGACAUCUCGCUACAUGCUGUUUUGGAGGGGGAGGACACAGGAUAGAAGAGACGAAAAUACACUUCUUCAGCAAAGUGUUUUUUAUGUCAUGUUAGUGCUUUGUGUGAGGAACCAAAGUCCUGUCACUGACUAGAGAGUAGGAAGGAACAGAAAAAGAAACAUCAGUCCACCUGCAAAGGAUAGAAUCUAAUGUUAACUAGUGCAGGCAGGUUUUCAUUCUCCCAGUCCC